This 586-nucleotide ribosomal RNA is filed under the name Fusarium culmorum. Its description in RNAcentral is "16S ribosomal RNA". It matches the Rfam family "Bacterial large subunit ribosomal RNA", at positions 2448 to 2925 of the family's 2925-position model. The record is from RNAcentral. Lineage: Eukaryota; Fungi; Ascomycota; Sordariomycetes; Hypocreales; Nectriaceae.
CUUUUAUGAUAACACAUAGAACAGGCUAAUUUGCGCAAGAGUGUACAAAAUGAGUGCGCGGUUUGGCACCUCGAUGUCGGCUUAACUUAUCCUCAUGGAUGCAGGAACUAUGUAGGGUGCGACUGUUCGUCGAUUAAAAAGUUACAUGAGCUGGGUUAAAUACGUCGUGAGACAGUAUGGUUUCUAUCUUCUAGGGGGAAUUAGAAUAUAAUAAGAACUAACUUUUGUACGAAAGGAACAAGAAGAAUUUAAUUUGUAAAAGGGUUAAAUAAUAGUUACUAACCUAUGGUUUACCUGUUGUCUAUGUGCCCAAAUAUUAAAAUAUAGGAUAAAAAUUCUAUAUAUCUGUAUAGCUUUAGCUAUACAUAGGGAUGUUUCUUUCACUAAGAUAAAUAUAUAGCAUAGGCACGGCAGGAAAGCUAAGUUGGUUAAGGAUAAGUGCUGAAAGCAUAUAGGCACGAAGCUUAUCUUAAGAUAUUUCUUAAAUAUACGUAAAAUAUUAUUACGAAGGAUUAAUAUAGGCUUUAUCCGUACGAAUCUGGAGAUUUUUAAGAAUAAAGUACUAAUUUUAUAAAUAACUAUUUAU